Molecule: unclassified non-coding RNA, 915 nt
Filed under: Hevea brasiliensis (rubber tree)
Lineage: Eukaryota; Viridiplantae; Streptophyta; Magnoliopsida; Malpighiales; Euphorbiaceae
Source: RNAcentral
AUCUAUUGUCUUAUCGCCUGGGUUUAUUCCGAGGCCCGAUCUCAUAACUUGUUUAUUUGACCUAUUCUUGUUUUUAAUUUAUUCGACCUUUUGUUACACCUAUCUUUCUUUAUCAUUUUUUUUUAUUUGUUCAGACCAAAACUCUCAUGUUAAAAUACCCCUGCCUAUAUUCUUUAGAGUAUUUACAAGUCGCCUAUAACUUGAAUGUCUACUCUCGAAGGGAAUGAAAACUAUAGUAACCAUAAAUAGAAUUGGCGAAUGAAUAGAAAAAGAAGACACAGGAAAUAACUUUGGGCCUAGAUAACCUAUUCUGAGACUUAAUGUAACUAGAUAUAAAAGAAACUUUAGAAGAAAACUGGAGAAAACAAACCAAGGGUAUUCAACAAAAUGACAGUUUAGACGCUUACUUGUGAAAAGUUGAGGAGACAGGUGAGCUGACUUCGGUAUCCACAAUUCUUGCAGAGGUGAAAGCUGACGGCUGAAGGACUUGAGCUUACUCGGGGUAAUGAGAACAGAUCGGGUCGAAGUUGAGUUCGGAAAGUAAUGCACAAAUACUAGAACGGUGGGAAUGAGGCGGAGUGAAGAUGGUUUCAGAGGGUGGUGCACAGGAACUGAAAAUGAAAAUCUCAGGACUUAGAGCUCCUUUUGAUGAAAUACUUAAGAAAACUAGUUUCUAAAGUUUCUCAACACUUCGAAAGCUCAAAAUGACAAAUAGCAAGACUAAAUCAAAGUUCAGAGUUUUUUCACUAUAAUCACCCCCUUCUUUUUACCUCCCUUCUACAGUGUUGCAUGCAAGUAUUUAUAGGGAACGGGUGCCCAAAAUGAAGGGUCAGAAUCUCACCAGGGGAGACGGAGGGCUUAGAUUCAAAAAAGACAUAAUCUGAUGUCUGGGAAUUAAAGAGAAUCAAAAUGGAG